Molecule: long non-coding RNA, 2463 nt
Filed under: Oncorhynchus mykiss (rainbow trout)
Lineage: Eukaryota; Metazoa; Chordata; Actinopteri; Salmoniformes; Salmonidae
Description: lncRNA (ENSOMYG00000076021.1)
Source: RNAcentral
AUGCUCCUACACUCACACACACCACGCUCCUACAUUCACACACCACUCUCUUACACUCCCACACACCACGCUCCUACACUCACACACACCACGCUCCUACAUUCACACACACCACGCUCCUACACUCACACACACCACGCUCCUACACUCACACACACCACGCUCCUACAUUCACACACACCACGCUCCUACACUCACACACACCACGCUCCUACACUCACACACACCACGCUCCUACAUGCACACACCACUCUCUUACACUCCUACACACCAAGCUUUUACUCUCCCACACACAACGCUCCUACACUCACACACACCACGCUCCUACACUCACACACACCACGCUCCUACACUCACACGCACCACGCUCCUACACUCACAAACACCACGCUCCUACACUCACACACACCACGCUCCUACACUCACACACACCACGCUCCUACACUCACACACACCACGCUCCUACACUCACACACACCACGCUCUUACACUCACACACCCCACGCUCCUACACUCCCACUCACCACACUCCUACACUCCCACACACCACGCUCCUACACUCACCCACACCACGCUCCUACACUCACACACACCACACAGCACGCUCCUACACUCACACACACCACACUCUUACACUCACACACACCACGCUCCUACACUCACACACACCACACACCACGCUCCAAACACUCCCAUACACCACACUCCUACACUCCCAUACACCACACUCCUACACUCACACACACCACGCUCCUACACCCAUACACCACACUCCCAUACACCACAUUCCUACACUCACAAGCACCACGCCCUUACACUCACACACACCACGCUCCUACACUCACACACACACCACGCUCCUACACUCACACACACCACGCUCCUACACACACCACACUCUUACACUCCCACACACCACGCUCCUACACUCCCAUACACCACACUCCUACACUCACACACACCACGCUCUUACACUCCCACACACCAACACUCCCAUACACCACACUCCUACACUCCCACACACCUACACACCACGCUCUUACACUCCCACACACAACGCUCCUACACUCCCACACACCACGCUCCUACACUCACACACACCACGCUCCUACAUUCACACACACCAUGCUCCUACACUCACACACACCACGCUCCUACACUCACACACACCACGCUCCUACAUUCACACACACCAUGCUCCUACACUCACACACACCACGCUCCUACAUUCACACACACCAUGCUCCUACACUCACACACACCACGCUCCUACACUCACACACACCUCGCUCCUACACUCACACACACCACGCUCCUACACUCACACACACCACGCUCCUACACUCACACACACCACGCUCCUACAUGCACACAUCACUCUCUUACACUCCUACACACCAAGCUUUUACUCUCCCACACACCACGCUCCUACACUCACACACACCACGCUCCUACACUCACACACACCACGCUCCUACACUCACACGCACCAUGCUCCUACACUCACACACACCACGCUCCUACACUCACACACACCACGCUCCUACACUCACACACACCACGCUCCUACACUCCCACACACCACACUCCUACACUCCCACACACCACACUCCUACACUCCCAUACACAACACUCCUACACUCCCAUACACAACACUCCUACACUCCCACACACCACACUCCUACACUCCCAUACACCACACUCCUACACUCCCAUACACCACACUCCUACACUCCCAUACACCACACUCCUACACUCACACACACCAUGCUCCUACACUCACACACACCACACAGCACGCUCCUACACUCUCACAAACCACGCUCCUACACUCCCACACACCACGCUCCUACACUCCCAUACACCACACUCCUACACUCCCAUACACCACACUCCUACACUCACACACACCACGCUCCUACACUCACACACACCACACAGCACGCUCCUACACUCACACACACCACGCUCCUACACUCCCACACACCACGCUCCUGCACUCACACACACCACGCUCCUACAUUCACACACACCAUGCUCCUACACUCACACACACCACGCUCCUACACUCACACACACCACGCUCCUACAUUCACACACACCAUGCUCCUACACUCACACACACCACGCUCCUACAUUCACACACCAUGCUCCUACACUCACACACACCACGCUCCUACACUCACACACACCACGCUCCUACACUCACACACACCACGCUCCUACACUCACACACACCACGCUCCUACACUCACACACACCACGCUCCUACAUGCACACACCACUCUCUUACACUCCUACACACCAAGCUUUUACUCUCCCACACACCACGCUCCUACACUCACACACACCACGCUCCUACACUCACACACACCAUGCUCCUACACUCCCACACACCACACUCCUACACUCACACACACCACGCUCCUACAUGCACACACCACUCUCCUACACUCCCACUAA